GGAGGCUGGCGGUGGGCGCAAUACCCGCCAACCCGGUCAGGUCCGGAAGGAAGCAGCCGUAACGGAUUCCUUGCGCGCCGCCGUUCAGUCUCCCAC
RNAcentral lists this signal recognition particle RNA (96 nucleotides) under Alphaproteobacteria bacterium. RNAcentral describes it as "signal recognition particle sRNA small type". It matches the Rfam family "Bacterial small signal recognition particle RNA". Rfam says of the family: The signal recognition particle (SRP) is a universally conserved ribonucleoprotein involved in the co-translational targeting of proteins to membranes. Archaeal SRP consists of a 7S RNA and homologues of the eukaryotic SRP19 and SRP54 proteins. In most bacteria, the SRP consists of a 4.5S RNA and the Ffh protein (a homologue of the eukaryotic SRP54 protein). Lineage: Bacteria; Pseudomonadati; Pseudomonadota; Alphaproteobacteria. The record is from RNAcentral. RNAcentral also lists the same sequence under 1 other name.